This is a non-coding RNA of Paramormyrops kingsleyae, 6761 nucleotides long. NCBI's taxonomy places the organism in Eukaryota, Metazoa, Chordata, Actinopteri, Osteoglossiformes, Mormyridae. The record is from RefSeq and is a predicted model, not a curated record.
UUCAUAGUCCAGCAUGAUCAGGUGUCGGAGCGCGUGAAGAUCUUCUGAAGCUGUGCAAAACGUGUGUGAAGAUGCAGAGUCUUUGAGGUUAGUUAUGGCCAACAAGACGCUGUUGCAGAGGUUACCGACUCAGGUCUCAGGGUUUCUGCUGCUGUUGGCCCCUCGGGAGAGAUACUUAACCUGAAUUGCAGCAGUGAAACUCCCAGCUUUAUAAAUGGAUUGACCUCCAAGUAGCUUUCGACAAACGUGUCAGCUGCGCAAUUAAAUUAUAGUGUAUACAUUACACUGAAUCAAUUUAAAUGGCGGCCCUUCUAGGGUUUCCCAUACAUCCCGAUAACAUUUCGUCAUCCAUAACCCACAGGUACACGAGCGUUACAUCUCCAAACAUCUAACAUAUCAUAAACAUAACCUUGCUAUCUACAUCGUGAUAAAAUCGCACACAUUCGUGGAUUAAACGGCGAUCACUUUGCCAAGAACAAACACAAAUAAGACGCACUUAAUUGCAGUGACCUAAUCGACCUGCCCGGGCAGCGCUCUCCAAGCAGCGCCCCGGGUACUGACGCCGCCCUGGAUCCCCGUCCCGGUUCCCGGCUGAAGGGCUGCCACGGUUCGCGAGUGCCUGUCGGAAUCCGGAAAUGAUGAAAAGGCGCCUGGCGAGGGAAAAGGUUGCAUUUCUCCGGAGCAAAACAGCACAGGCGAUCAAAUCAAAGUUACUCUUUUAUGCGAAAGGAAGGGUGGCUAAGAAUGUCCCAGGAGACAGCGUCCCCCUUGAAGACCGGCUCCUCCGUGCGGGAUGGUCUGCUUCUUUUUAACGAAGGAUGUGGCUCUGCAGACAGGCCAGCUGACUCAGAGGGAAGACCAGGAACCAUAGCUUCCGCUGAGGAAUUUCCAGAACCUCGGGGUCACGUGACCACUGGAAGUUCCACUAAUGGUGACCUCGUUAGAAAUCAGCCUGAGCCUGUGGACCUGGGAGCCGGCAAGGGAGUAGGCGGAGUUCUGCACGGUCCCACUACGCGGCCCAAGAAGCAUCCAGUGUCUCACAGGGUGCAGCACAAGCUCCGCUCCGUCGGCGGGGACAGGGGUCACUCUGUGGACUCGUUGCCAGAAGGGCUGGUGGGGCCUGACCUUUACAUCUUGGAGCCGAGCUUGAUGUUGAUCCAGGGACCAGGCAAACAGUGCCCUACGCAGCCUUCACCCCCCACCCCGCCGCCAAGGAGCGGGCGAAACACAGAGCAGCUCACUGCACUAUGGAGGUACGUCCUGCUCAGCGCCCUUACCAGAGUCUUCCUCUGCCAGAUCCCGCUUUAAAGCGAGGUGGCUUCGGUAACGCAGAAAAAAUAUCCAUAAUUCAUUCAUGAUACUGUUGUUUUAUCUUGGUCUCAUUAAAAGUAAAAAAAUUACAUAGUUACCAGAACGUUGCACGGAAAAUAAUAUGAACUGAACGUGUGUGUAUAUUUGGCUGAAAUCGAGAAGAUGCAGGUCCUUCUUAGCCACGGGAUCAGACAUAAUUCCUCCUUUUUUUCCGCUGUCCUAAUAGAUCAAUUUCUCUAUAUAAAUUCGUCUCGAACGAACUGAUUAAACAGCACAGUGUCUCUGCGUUGAGAGGCCCAUUAGACAUUUGUGACAGUAAAUUACAGCACAUUUACAAUCCAAAUGAAAUUUCAUAAAGGAGGGAUAUUGGGAACCGCCCCGUCCGUCUUCGAGCCUCCCUGCCAACGUCUUUGUCUCUCGUCUGACAAGCGCAUCACAUCAGCGCCCCCUGUGGUGGACUACGGCACCUGCAGGGUCGAGGAGUUUGGACAUUCUUUCGCUGGUGUGCUGAAUCUCUGCCACUUCCUUCGCCACAUCAGCCGCCACAUCUCCAGUCAGACCCAGCUCUUCCCUUCAGCGGAGGGCGUCUUUGCGUCUUUCCACCCAAAAGGGCGGGACACACACCUGGCAGCCGCCCCCUUUUGGCUCACUUUUUUUGUUGCCGUUCGCCCCCUAAAUAAUGAAUCAUCCAAUCAAUUUCUUUCUCUAUGUUUUGGGCGCCGGAGCCUGGGGUGUGCCAAAGUCGAUUCGCUUGAUCUGAAGGGCCGGGAUUAACCUCCCCCCACCCCCACCCAUACUCAAACCUCACAUCUCCAUGGUGGGUCCGGUGCAGACCUUUACAGUCAAGCACCCCACUCUUUCCCAGAACAGGCUGUUGAAAGAUUCCUGUUAGGCCCGUAAUUUUGGAACAAGGCAGUACAGCAGUCUGUCUGUGUAAUGAACCAGGCAAGGACAAGAUCUGUACAGUAGAAUCGAUGUCAUGGGGGGGGGGGUCCCAUGCCCGGGAGAAUCAGGGGCUUGUUUUAAGCAGAGAUAAGUACAGACCCCCCACUUUCGUAGGUAUGUCCACCUGGCUUUCAGGGUGAUGCAUUUCCCGUAGAGUAUGGAUAAUAUAGCAGGCAGAAGCUCUGCAAAACUGAGCCUCGACUCCCAGUAUCCUUAACUGGUCUCCACUACAUUCAAAGGCGUCGGUCACGUGAUACGUGGAAUAUAGUUAAUGGUUACCGACUAGUGCUGGUGAGUUUUUGUAAUGCCUUAGCUGUUUACAUUUUUUUUCUGCAUGACUUGCAUGAGGGUUCAAGGAAGCUUCUAGAAGCUUCCUUGAAAAGAUCACACUGGCAUGUGAUCUUUAUUGCCGUGAAGAGGCAGCCCCCCCAAGUCCCUGAAAAGGAAAAAAGGAACCACCAUUUUUAAUUUUUUUUUGGGGGGGGGGAUCCAGGACAUGUGAUUUGAAGAUAUCUGUCUCUCACCUUGUGAAGUCGGCAGGUGAUGCUCUAUCCGUCGGAACAACGAUGAGGAGAAGCAGGCUUCUGAAACAGCACUUCAAGCACAAGUGUCAGAAUUUACACUGCUCUUUGUCUUUUCAUGGGGGCGGCUAAAUCCCUGCGUUUUCGUACCAGCUCUACGGGAGACAGCCUCUGGCUUGGCCAGGGAUCGUUUCAUCUAAGAGGUGUGGCUAGCUUCUGCUAUAGGAAGAUGACAGGAAACUGCAUUUGGAACAAUUUCCUUUGGCGCCACAAAAAAUUUGACAAACGAGAGGUGGCCUUGACUGGCAGGAUCACGCAGGCCAUCUUCACUUGUACCGACUCCGGGGUUAAACUCUGGAGGAUUAUCAUUAAUGUCGCUACCAAAGCCACAGACUCUGCCCUCAUCAACCCCAACUGCCUGGCACCAACAUGGCCGACACCAACAUGACCGACACCAACAUGGCCGACACCAACAUGACCGACACCAACAUGGCCGACACCAACAUGACCGACACCAACAUGGCCGACACCAACAUGGCCGACACCAACAUGACCGACACCAACAUGGCCGACACCAACAUGGCCAAUAUAUGUAUUCGGAUCAUUGUUUAUAGUAUGUAAUGAAGGUACCACUCACCCUAUAACGGUAGCACCUCCACAGGCUAAGUGGGACCCUCCUAACAGGUAAAAAUCAUAGGGAAUCCAUGUGAAUGUUCCCAUAGGCCAGGUCUCCAUCCACAUGUAACCAUGGACACCAGUGAGUCUAAAGCCACCCCAUAACACCUAAGAGGAGAUCGAAGCAUAACCCACACGGUGCCUUUCACACUCCUGCUUUGUUAAAAUUCAUUCAUACCCAUUAUUCAGUGCUGCCUGUCAUGUUACCACCUCUGCUGAUGGAAACCAGACCCACCUUUGGAUGAAGUUCAUUGUCAACAGAAAGGUUGGUUUGCAAGGUCAUUACUGUGCCUGAAAUAUGUCUACAGUAUACAUUCAUGCUGCAUGGCACAAAAGCGCAUUUGUUGACAUAUAAUUUAAUAAAAACCUAACACAUUAUUUGUAAAUUACCAGGGACUGCCACGAUGUGUGAAUUCUGGUCAUAUUUUCCAGUUUGUGAAAAACAUCUGAAUAUCAAGUGCUUGUGAAAGACAUUUUCAAAUUUUACACAGAUUUAAGACAAAAUAAUUUUGUAUGCAACAUAAAUAUGAGUAGUGAUGAGAUGUAAUGAUUCUCAGCACCAUUGGAAAAUAGUCCUUUUAUGAUAUAAUAUAAAUGUGUGUACAAUUUAAAUGGAAAAAUUAGCUUAUCGGAUGAAAUAUUCCGCUCUGUUCCUUCCAAUGCUUCUAUGGGCAGUUCUGUGUCAUUUCUUUAAAACCUGGAAAAGUAAGGAAGGAACCUAAAGUUAUUUAAAUGAUUGGCCUUUUAAACAAAUGUCUCAUGUGUGCAUCAUAUAUUUGUUGUUAUUAAAUUUAAAUUAAGUGUGCUAUAUAUAACACUGUUGCAGAAUAUCAUUAACCUAGUAGUGUUAACCUCCACAAAUAAUUAACAAAGUAUUAUAAAAAAAGACAAUUAACUUGAAGUGUAAGUCCUGAAGUGUGAGGCAUUUUAUUGCUUUUUCCCCUUCGGUUGAAUGCGCUGAAAUCGCUGCUGCUCUGCACUCCCAUAACAUGUAUUAGCUCCAUAUAUUGUGCCUUGCGUUGAGUUCUGUAGUGCAGUUCUUUUUUCCCGAAAAUGUGGCCGAAUAAAGAACAAGAUAACGAACAAACAAACAAACUUUAAGCAAUGCUUUGUUGGCUCCUCCCCAGCCUCCGGGUGAGAAAAGCACAGACUGUUGAUAAAAGAACAUCGAUUCCGUGUGUUGUAAAGGUGGAGUAUGUUAUGUGACCGUUACAUCAUACACAUACACAUUUAAAAAUAAUAAUAAAAUGAAAGCAUGCAAUGAAAUAACAAUGAAAGCAUGCAAAAAAAAAAACCCAAAAUAAAUUAACUUUUUUGCUGAAAAUGUAAAAAUGGGCUCAAAAUCUGACGUUGCUUCCUUGUAAACAAAGCACAGUGAUGAGCAGCAAUAGGACAAGGAAGUAACACUUCUCAAUAGAAGACUUGAAACCAUUUAUUGAGGAGGUGGCCAAAAAUAUGUUUUAAUAAAAUAAUUAUUGCAGUGUAGCCAGCAUAGCACACGUGACAGUAAUAGCACAGCAGCAUUCAGGGGGACAUCUUAGAGGUCCCAAGGACUUGUGUAGGCACCAGAAUCGCACCUUCCACAUGCCCAGAGGCCCCUCUACAGCAGAGUGCGUCUUUGGUGUGCAGUGUUACACCUCUCCUGUUUGGGGAUUCUACACUGGAGUCAGCAGCUAUUCGCUAAGAGAGGAUACCUACCGUCUCCAAAGAACCAGCCACCAGCAAACACACCAUCCUUUGCCAUCUGACACACUCUAAAGCUGGACCAGAUAUAAGAAUCGUGUGUCUUCCCAGGUCACUUGGCCACAAUGUCUGUAAAAUAUCCUUAGAUGCACAUUACUUAGACAAUUAGGUCUAGUGCCAGGAAGCCUUUUUGGCAGGUGCAGGUGGGAUUGAAGAGGUUGCGAGUAGGAUUGAGCGUUCCAUCUUCUGCACCUAAUAUGCCUGCAAUGGCACGAAAACCAAUUUUAGUGUCAUACAAGGCAUCCCCUCCUGCUGGAAACUAUGCAGUUGUGCAUACGAUGCAAGAGAAUGUGAUCGAUGCAUGCACAGAUUUGGACACGGUAGCAUCAUGGAUGGUCUGCAAGAAUCCAUCGGUGGGAUAGAAGCAGAGAGCUGUCAGACGAUACAUGAUGGACUGAGGGCAAAAUUCCGCUCUGUUCCUCUUUUCGAUUUAUCCUGCACCAGACCGGGAGGCUCAAUAUUUCAGCCCAGGCCAGCCUGUAUUUCCCUAUGAAUUGUUCUUUGCUGAGAUGGUCCAUGGGGUUCACAUCAACCCGCAAAACAGCAUUUGGACCAGCAGCUUGGUCUCAAAUGCCGUCUUGGUUUCGUUGUACAGUUCUCUGCCAUUACUGGUCAUGAGGGGUGAUUCACCUUUCCAAUUCAAAGGAUGUGACAACUCAUAGUAAGUUUGAUUGGUUAGCUCAUUAUGUAUGUGGUUGCUGAGAAUUUAUGAAUUGUGCCCCAUUCCAUUAUGAAUUGGAAUAUUAAUUGAAUUGGCCACGCCCUGUAAGACAUUGAAUUGGAAUGAGAGGAAGAAGAAUUUAAUUCAUUUUAAUUCAAAGAAAUUACUCAGGAAUGUCAUUUAAUCUCUGAAAAUAUAUAUAAUUAUGCAAUAAAUGUACUUUCUAGAUGGUAGAUGUAUAUAUUGACCUUAUAUAUGUAUUAGUGAGUGAAGUGAACUUUAUACUUGCAUGAAUGUACGAUCAAAAUUGUGUAAUUGCUUUAGCCCAUUCUAACAAUAUGGAUCUGGAUUUUGUCGGCCCUCUGAGUCCUUUUCCAUGGGCAAACAUUUAUUGUUCUUGCAUAUAUAACUGUUCAUGUAACACGCAUAGGCUAUUCUGGCAGGUGCUGGAACAGGGGGUGUGGCCGAUGGCUGCUUUUUUCCGCCAUGAAUUUUCGUAAUUGUGAAGUGGGAUUCAGUGAAUGCAGUUUAUGUUAAACAUGUAAUUCAUAUUGGAAUGUUCAGCUGUAUUGUUACAGGUGCACCAGCACUAUGUAUAUGAAUUUAUGUAAAAUCAAUCCCAUUUUAAUUGUACUUCCUUAUAUUCAAAUUUGAAUUGAGAUUCUGCACCCUGUUCUCAACCAAUUUUAUGAAUUGAAUUUGAAGUUCAAGGUCAUUCUCAAUUCAAUUCUGAAUGGUGCACAUCUCUGUUAUGUACUGAAAUUGCAUGCAGGUGUUAAAACAAUGAGCCCUUUUUGUGCUAAUUUACAACCGACGUCAUAGUUUUAUUCUGCAACAUUUUUGCCAUCUGUUUUGGUCGAUCUUUGUGUGUCUGUGAUUGGACAGCAGGCAAAAGUUCAAAUAAA